This 548-nucleotide ribosomal RNA is filed under the name uncultured Glomus. Its description in RNAcentral is "SSU rRNA". It matches the Rfam family "Eukaryotic small subunit ribosomal RNA", at positions 548 to 1098 of the family's 1831-position model. The record is from RNAcentral. Lineage: Eukaryota; Fungi; Glomeromycota; Glomeromycetes; Glomerales; Glomeraceae.
UUGGAGGGCAAGUCUGGUGCCAGCAGCCGCGGUAAUUCCAGCUCCAAUAGCGUAUAUUAAAGUUGUUGCAGUUAAAAAGCUCGUAGUUGAAUUUCGAGACCGGCUUACUGGUCGUGCUAUUGUACGUACUGGUAUAAUCGGUUUCUCCUUUCUGACGAACUAUAAUGCCAUUAAUUUGGUGUUUUAGGGAAUCAGGACUGUUACUUUGAAAAAAUUGGAGUGUUUAAAGCAGGCUCACGCUUGAAUACAUUAGCAUGGAAUAACGGAAUAGGACGUUUGAUUCUAUUUUGUUGGUUUCUAGGAUCGACGUAAUGAUUAAUAGGGAUAGUUGGGGGCAUUAGUAUUCAAUUGUCAGAGGUGAAAUUCUUGGAUUUAUUGAAGACUAACUACUGCGAAAGCAUUUGCCAAGGAUGUUUUCAUUAAUCAAGAACGAAAGUUAGGGGAUCGAAGACGAUCAGAUACCGUCGUAGUCUUAACCAUAAACUAUGCCGACUAGGGAUCGGAUGAUGUUAAUUUUUUAAUGACUCAUUCGGCGCCUUACGGGAAAC